GACGAACGCUGGCGGCGUGCUUAACACAUGCAAGUCGAACGGAAAGGCCCUGCUUUUGUGGGGUGCUCGAGUGGCGAACGGGUGAGUAACACGUGAGUAACCUGCCCUUGACUUUGGGAUAACUUCAGUAAACUGGGGCUAAUACCGGAUAGGAGCUCCUGCUGCAUGGUGGGGGUUGGAAAGUUUCGGCGGUUGGGGAUGGACUCGCGGCUUAUCAGCUUGUUGGUGGGGUAGUGGCUUACCAAGGCUUUGACGGGUAGCCGGCCUGAGAGGGUGACCGGCCACAUUGGGACUGAGAUACGGCCCAGACUCCUACGGGAGGCAGCAGUGGGGAAUAUUGCACAAUGAGCGGAAGCCUGAUGCAGCAACGCCGCGUGCGGGAUGACGGCCUUCGGGUUGUAAACCGCUUUCGCCUGUGACGAAGCGUGAGUGACGGUAAUGGGUAAAGAAGCACCGGCUAACUACGUG
Molecule: ribosomal RNA, 468 nt
Filed under: uncultured bacterium
Lineage: Bacteria
Description: partial 16S ribosomal RNA
Rfam family: Bacterial small subunit ribosomal RNA
Source: RNAcentral